RNAcentral lists this non-coding RNA (50 nucleotides) under bovine gut metagenome. The record is from RNAcentral.
UACGGUGGAAAAAUUUGGCUGCUUGCAACCACUUGAAAAAAUGCUAAAAU